ACCCACACUAAUGUAACGAUUCUCGUAUGAUCACCGAAGUUAAGCAAUGUCAAGCGUGGUCAGUAUAGAUGGGCGACCGCUUGGGAAUACCAGAUGCUGUAAG
Non-coding RNA from Acanthosepion pharaonis, 103 nucleotides. NCBI's taxonomy places the organism in Eukaryota, Metazoa, Mollusca, Cephalopoda, Sepiida, Sepiidae. The record is from the annotation of a GenBank genome assembly.